RNAcentral lists this ribosomal RNA (497 nucleotides) under uncultured bacterium. Its description in RNAcentral is "partial 16S ribosomal RNA". It matches the Rfam family "Bacterial small subunit ribosomal RNA", at positions 28 to 507 of the family's 1533-position model. The record is from RNAcentral.
GAUGAACGCUGGCGGCGUGCCUAAUACAUGCAAGUCGAGCGAACAGACGAGGAGCUUGCUCCUCUGACGUUAGCGGCGGACGGGUGAGUAACACGUGGAUAACCUACCUAUAAGACUUGGAUAACUUCGGGAAACCGGAGCUAAUACCGGAUAAUAUAUUGAACCGCAUGGUUCAAUAGUGAAAGACGGUUUUGCUGUCACUUAUAGAUGGAUCCGCGCCGCAUUAGCUAGUUGGUAAGGUAACGGCUUACCAAGGCGACGAUGCGUAGCCGACCUGAGAGGGUGAUCGGCCACACUGGAACUGAGACACGGUCCAGACUCCUACGGGAGGCAGCAGUAGGGAAUAUUCCGCAAUGGGCGAAAGCCUGACGGAGCAACGCCGCGUGAGUGAUGAAGGUCUUCGGAUCGUAAAACUCUGUUAUUAGGGAAGAACAAAUGUGUAAGUAACUAUGCACGUCUUGACGGUACCUAAUCAGAAAGCCACGGCUAACUACGUG